AUUCCAUGAUGGGGACACUUCCUUAACAACUCCUUGAAGCACUCCCAUACAUCAUACAAAGCUCCCCCAUCAUUCUUGUGAAAAUUUUCAAUUUCACAUCUCGACU
Small nucleolar RNA from Humulus lupulus (European hop), 106 nucleotides. The record is from RefSeq and is a predicted model, not a curated record. NCBI's taxonomy places the organism in Eukaryota, Viridiplantae, Streptophyta, Magnoliopsida, Rosales, Cannabaceae.